GACGAACGCUGGCGGCGUGCCUAAUACAUGCAAGUAGAACGCUGAAGGAGGAGCUUGCUUCUCUGGAUGAGUUGCGAACGGGUGAGUAACGCGUAGGUAACCUGCCUGGUAGCGGGGGAUAACUAUUGGAAACGAUAGCUAAUACCGCAUAAUAGCAGUUGUUGCAUGACAACUGUUUGAAAGGUGCAAUUGCACCACUACCAGAUGGACCUGCGUUGUAUUAGCUAGUUGGUGGGGUAACGGCUCACCAAGGCGACGACACAUAGCCGACCUGAGAGGGGGGUCGGCCACCCUGGGACUGGGACACCGCCCAGACCUCUACGGGAGGCAGCAGUAGGGAAUCUUCGGCAAUGGACGGAAGUCUGACCGGGCAACGCCGCGUGAGUGAAGAAGGUUUUCGGAUCGUAAAGCUCUGUUGUAAGAGAAGAACGAGUGUGAGAGUGGAAAGUUCACACUGUGACGGUAUCUUACCAGAAAGGGACGGCUAACUACGUG
RNAcentral lists this ribosomal RNA (495 nucleotides) under uncultured bacterium. RNAcentral describes it as "partial 16S ribosomal RNA". It matches the Rfam family "Bacterial small subunit ribosomal RNA", at positions 28 to 507 of the family's 1533-position model. The record is from RNAcentral.